This 473-nucleotide ribosomal RNA is filed under the name uncultured bacterium. RNAcentral describes it as "bacterial SSU rRNA". It matches the Rfam family "Bacterial small subunit ribosomal RNA", at positions 330 to 794 of the family's 1533-position model. The record is from RNAcentral.
UCCAGACUCCUACGGGAGGCAGCAGUGGGGAAUCUUCCGCAAUGGGCGCAAGCCUGACGGAGCAAUGCCGCGUGAACGAAGAAGGUCUUCGGAUUGUAAAGUUCUGUCCUUAUCGAAGAGAGGGUAUAGAGUGAAAAAUGAUAUACUAGGACGGUAGAUGAGGAGGAAGCCCCGGCUAACUACGUGCCAGCAGCCGCGGUAAUACGUAGGGGGCGAGCGUUAUCCGGAUUUACUGGGUGUAAAGGGAGCGUAGACGGCGGUGCAAGCCAGAUGUGAAAGCCCGGGGCUCAACCCCGGGACUGCAUUUGGAACUGUGCUGCUAGAGUGUCGGAGAGGCAGGCGGAAUUCCUAGUGUAGCGGUGAAAUGCGUAGAUAUUAGGAGGAACACCGGUGGCGAGGGCGGCCUGCUGGACUGCGACUGACGUUGAGGCCCGAAAGCGUGGGGAGCAAACAGGAUUAGAUACCCUUGUAGA